CGCACAGCGAAGGUGCUUGCACCUUUCAAGUGAGUGGCGAACGGGUGAGUAACACGUGGACAACCUGCCUCAAGGCUGGGGAUAACAUUUGGAAACAGAUGCUAAUACCGAAUAAAACUUAGUGUCGCAUGACACAAAGUUAAAAGGCGCUUCGGCGUCACCUAGAGAUGGAUCCGCGGUGCAUUAGUUAGUUGGUGGGGUAAAGGCCUACCAAGACAAUGAUGCAUAGCCGAGUUGAGAGACUGAUCGGCCACAUUGGGACUGAGACACGGCCCAAACUCCUACGGGAGGCUGCAGUAGGGAAUCUUCCACAAUGGGCGAAAGCCUGAUGGAGCAACGCCGCGUGUGUGAUGAAGGCUUUCGGGUCGUAAAGCACUGUUGUAUGGGAAGAACAGCUAGAAUAGGAAAUGAUUUUAGUUUGACGGUACCAUACCAGAAAGGGACGGCUAAAUACGUGCCAGCAGCCGCGGUAAUACGUAUGUCCCGAGCGUUAUCCGGAUUUAUUGGGCGUAAAGCGAGCGCAGACGGUUUAUUAAGUCUGAUGUGAAAGCCCGGAGCUCAACUCCGGAAUGGCAUUGGAAACUGGUUAACUUGAGUGCAGUAGAGGUAAGUGGAACUCCAUGUGUAGCGGUGGAAUGCGUAGAUAUAUGGAAGAACACCAGUGGCGAAGGCGGCUUACUGGACUGCAACUGACGUUGAGGCUCGAAAGUGUGGGUAGCAAACAGGAUUAGAUACCCUGGUAGUCCACACCGUAA
This 755-nucleotide ribosomal RNA is filed under the name Leuconostoc mesenteroides. RNAcentral describes it as "bacterial SSU rRNA". It matches the Rfam family "Bacterial small subunit ribosomal RNA", at positions 63 to 805 of the family's 1533-position model. Lineage: Bacteria; Bacillati; Bacillota; Bacilli; Lactobacillales; Lactobacillaceae. The record is from RNAcentral.